AGCUUUGCACAGUAGCAGUAUCAUAGCCAGUGAGGUUUAUCCAAGGCUCGAUUAUUGCUAAUUGAAAACUUUUCCCCAUACCUGGCCUUGAUAACUUGCCAUAUAGGUGGCAGUGGCAAGUUUUGAUGGUCUCUACAAGA
Small nuclear RNA from Otolemur garnettii (small-eared galago), 140 nucleotides. Its record names the gene U4. It matches the Rfam family "U4 spliceosomal RNA". Rfam says of the family: U4 small nuclear RNA (U4 snRNA) is a component of the major U2-dependent spliceosome. The structure of U4 snRNA from yeast and human has been reported. The record is from Ensembl. NCBI's taxonomy places the organism in Eukaryota, Metazoa, Chordata, Mammalia, Primates, Galagidae.